Long non-coding RNA from Bubalus bubalis (water buffalo), 1252 nucleotides. RefSeq lists it as uncharacterized. The transcript has 2 exons. Lineage: Eukaryota; Metazoa; Chordata; Mammalia; Artiodactyla; Bovidae. The record is from RefSeq and is a predicted model, not a curated record.
UCACAUGAAUAAAGGGUUUGACUUUUAAGUUUAACAACCACGAAAGCAUCGGCGUGCACAUCAGAGCCCACCAGAGGGUGACAGAACGCAGUUGUAAAAUGAAGAGUAUUUUAAAGUCUCACAGGGUUAUUGACUACCAACCUCUGUGUCUCUGAUGAGAACCUCAUCCAGCCCAAGCUGAUAGCAAUUGCUUUCCCUCUGAGGGAAGUGAAGAGAAACAAGACUCUUCUGCCUACCCCCACCUUCCCCACCUUGUUGCUGGCCAAAGUAGCCCCUGUGGAAAAUACAUGCAGAAGCAGCAGUUUCUUCCCUUCCUUCGAAAAUCUGCACCCAUUGUUUGUGCUGAUGCAGACAUUUAAUUUGAUGUGCAGAGACGAUCCCACCCAGAAGUAAGAAUCAAGCCCAAAUUCCUCUCCAACAUCUUGAGGAGCAGCCUGGCUCCAUUGCCCCCACCUCCCCACUGGCAGCAUAGCCCCGUGGACGAAAGAUCUAGGUGAGUAGGACCUGGCACUCACUGGAGCUGCCCUCUGAAGCUCAUCCAAUAAUCCACUCCACUGGAUGCAGGAGGUAUGGAGAUAAUGACUAUUUCCUGAAUAUCGUGCUGUUUAAACAGCCCCACUGCAGUGUUUCGAGAAAUUCAGGAUGUUUUUGCAUCCCAGGUGCUGCUGGAGCUGCCCAGCUAAACUAAACACAGUGCACAGGCAUUGAGAACAGGUGGUGGCUGGCCAGAUUGCUGGCAGUCAGGAUGGCGGCGGUUGUUUUUCUUGUUCCAGCAGUUGGCAGAGGAAGGCAUGCUUCAGUACAAUCAGUAGCUUUCCACUCUCAAAAAGGAAUGUUUUCCUGGACACUAGAGCAUGAAGACACGCUCUACACUGCUCAAAAGCCCUUUCAGAGACAGAGCGAAGUCCAAAACUGCAGACUGCCAUCCAGAAUCUUCCUCCAUUUAUCCCUGUUCUUAGUUGAAGCAUUUUGGCUUGCAGAAUGGGAGGCCCAGUCUAGCUAGCUCAAAAGAGGGUGUGUGUGUGUGUGUGUGUGUGUGUGUGUGUGUGUUAACUACUUUCCUGCUUGUGGCCAUGGGCCCUCUGCCCACUUGCUUCUGUCACCUUCUUGGAAAGGCCUUCCUUGACGGCAGCAUAUGGUGAUAUCUCUCUCUCCCAAUUAUACUCCAUCAGAUAACCCUGUUUUAUCAUUCCAUUUCCUUUAUCACUGCAAUGUAUCAAAUGUUUGUGUCCACUCUCCCCCACACAACUGG